Molecule: transfer RNA, 93 nt
Filed under: Streptomyces olivaceus
Lineage: Bacteria; Bacillati; Actinomycetota; Actinomycetes; Kitasatosporales; Streptomycetaceae
Description: tRNA-Gly
Source: RNAcentral
GGCGCGAUGGCGUGGCCGAAGACGCGGAUGUCGCCGCCGUCCGGGGCGAUCAGGCCCAUCAGCAUGCGCAGGGUCGUCGUCUUGCCCGCGCCG